This 255-nucleotide ribosomal RNA is filed under the name uncultured bacterium. Its description in RNAcentral is "partial 16S ribosomal RNA". It matches the Rfam family "Bacterial small subunit ribosomal RNA", at positions 524 to 776 of the family's 1533-position model. The record is from RNAcentral.
UACGUAGGGUGCAAGCGUUAAUCGGAAUUACUGGGCGUAAAGCGUGCGCAGGCGGUUUUGUAAGUCUGUCGUGAAAUCCCCCGGGCUCAACCUGGGAAUUGCGAUGGAGACUGCAAGGCUAGAAUCUGGCAGAGGGGGGUAGAAUUCCACGUGUAGCAGUGAAAUGCGUAGAGAUGUGGAGGAACACCGAUGGCGAAGGCAGCCCCCUGGGUCAAGAUUGACGCUCAUUGCACGAAAGCGUGGGGAGCAAACAGG